This is a long non-coding RNA of Oncorhynchus tshawytscha (Chinook salmon), 483 nucleotides long. Lineage: Eukaryota; Metazoa; Chordata; Actinopteri; Salmoniformes; Salmonidae. The record is from Ensembl.
CUUCCUGGACUGAUGUAAUGGAUAGACUCCUCCUACCUGACUGACUGGGGGGAUCUUCCUUGACUGAUGUAAUGGAUAGACUCCUCCUCCUACCUGACUGACUGGGGGAGAAGAGCUCAUGGAGUCGUAACAGUACAGGAAGGAGGGAAGAGCUCAUGGAGUCGUAACAGUACAGGAAGGAGGGAAGAGCUCAUGGAGUCGUAACAGUACAGGAAGGAGGGAAGAGCUCAUGGAGUCGUAACAGUACAGGAAGGAGGGAAGAGCUCAUGGAGUCGUAACAGUACAGGAAGGAGGGAAGAGCUCAUGGAGUCGUAACAGUACUAUCCCAGUACUGUUCAGUCUCUACAUUUAUUUGUCCUUUUGGUUGUGGUCAAUGAUGGGACUAUUUCCUGGUGAUCUUUGUCCCCCCCUGAACUAGAAGGAUAUUUUAUCACCUGACUGUUAGAAUGGUGACAGUCUGUUUUCCUUUUUAUAUCAUUUUUC